This is a long non-coding RNA of Anas platyrhynchos (mallard), 3545 nucleotides long. RefSeq lists it as uncharacterized. Lineage: Eukaryota; Metazoa; Chordata; Aves; Anseriformes; Anatidae. The record is from RefSeq and is a predicted model, not a curated record.
GGCAAGGAUAAAUUUAGAGGAGCUGGCAUCCAGAGCAGAUAAAUUGUUUAAUAGUCUGAAGUGGCAUCUAGACAGCGUUUGAGUAUGACAUGUAUCUUAGAAGGCUAAAUCAUACAAAUAAAAGAAGACUCUAAUUCUGUACCUUAAGCUACCUCUGUGGGCUUGGGGAGUCCUAGAUACAGAUUUUUUCUCCCAGAACUGUUGGUAUUUUACUGUCAUUAGAUAUGUAUAUACACACGCCUAGGAAAUUAGGAGAGGUUCUGGAUUCUGUUCUUGGCAUCAUGCACUGAAACAUGUCAUUAUGAUGUAAAUUCUUUAUUUGAAUGACAGGUUCCUUUGAAAGUCCUGAACUGCUGUCAUAAAGGUAAUUCUGCAUUAUAUUUAUUCAUAUCAUUAGUUUUGGAAGAGAAUGUGUUUAUUUUAAUUUUCAUUCAUAUAGAAUUUCAAAGGGGAAGAAAUUGUGGGAUUAAGAUUAUCCCAUCAGGAAAAGCAAUCAUACAUGUAAUAGCCAGCCACGAUUGACCACACAUCAUGAUGGCUCUAUAAAGAAGGAGAAAAAAAAAAGAAAAGAAUUUCAGCCAGUUGGGAAGCUGUCCCAGACACUGAUGAAGAGAUAAUAAUUAAUGAUAGGAUUUCUAUUCAUUUAUUUAUUUAGAGACAGAUGCAUUACUAAUUUUAACCUCAAAAGGACAUUUCAGCCUUGCAAAUUGUACAGAUUUUUGGAUGGCACUUUUUAGAUAUCUCCAUAAGGAAUGUGGACUUUGCUAUUGGCCUUUUGUUUUUUUCAAGGGUCCUUUCAGUCUAAAGGAACUCCCCUCCCUGUUUCACUUUCUACUCAGCUGAAAAUAUGAAAUCUGUGGGUCAUAUUUUGAUGUCCUAUAAGCUUAUUUACCUCAGUAACUAUUCAUCACUCAGAGCAAAAGAUAAAAAUUUGACCUAGUUGAUUUCACUGGGAUCAGGGAUUUGCUCAAGCAUUUUCUAAUCCAGGCUUGAAAAAGUCCUUGUCAUGUAUGUCAAAUCUAAAACCUUGUAUCCCUUUCUUGCUCUACAUGACAGUCCUUUUGUCUGUGAAAAGAGGAUACUGGUGCAUACUGGUGCAGCUUAUUGCCAGUAUUUAGACGCUAUUUUAAUAGCCUUUUUUUUUUUUUUUUUCCCCACUAUUGAUUUAUUUUCUCUCUUACAUAUUACCAAAGAAUGUAAAAGGCUGCCCCCUGAAGUCAUUGAUGGAUAUGUUGAUUGUCUUUGGACGGAGUCCUGCAAGUUUCCUGUUAGAAACAUUUUGACACCCUGUUAUCUUCCUGAGUUGAUCAGACACCUGCUGCUACCCCACCUGCCUUCUUGGCAACAAGAAAUGCCUGUCUGCCUCGCUUUCCUAGUUCCUUCCCCACCUCCUCUCUCACUGUGUAAGCAUCAACAGGUGGGAUUAAUUGUGAGGAAGGAUGUUGUGCCAAUGCCUUGUUGCUGGCAUAGAAGCAGGGACUCCUGUAGAGAGGACAGCACAUGAGGGUUUAAGAAGGCUGCUCUGCAGAAGUCAGUGCUGUCUGGCACCCAUGCCUUACUAGAAGGGUCCAACCAACUUUGGAGCAGGCAGGGUGCCAUCCUGACAGAUGGAUGGAAAGGGAGCCAAGGCACCAGUCAUGGAUUUGGCAAGAAAGGAACUUGCUCUUCAAGGGAUCACAGAGUUGCGGUUCUCCAGCCUGCUGGUGUCCACCACAAACUGACCUGAUGGCUGCAACAUCUGAAAGUGCUACAGAAUUAUUUCAUUUUAGAAGUGGUUAACAGUAUAUGUUAAGAGCAAGUAACAUUUCUAAUAACUGAAACAGUGUUAAAUAAGAAAAUGAUGAAAGCUAGCGCACUUUAGUUAUUGUAACACCAAACAGAACUCUUGGCCUUUUUAACAGCCAACUUCCUUGAAACUCUGAAUAGGCCUUAAAUGAGAAAUACAUUUUAAUAACACAGGAGCACAGUGUCUAGACAGGCAACUUUCUAAUUGUCUUUUGCAUAAAUGAGUACAGUAUUCAUAAAAAUAUAGGUCAAAAGGAAAUACAUUAUGGCCUAAAACAUUUAGAACAGAUUUAUCUAUCUAACUCAGAAAAGCUCAGCUAAUAAAUAUGAGCAGUUUCAAUGAGAGUCAAUAUUAAUGAUGAUUGGCUUUGUCUGGAUUUAUGUUUCAAGUGUAAUAGUCACACUUGUAUGUAUUCCUUGACAUCUGACAAAGAGUGAGUGCAGGGUAAGAGGAGGAAUUAAUAAAAUCGUAUUCUAUCUGUUGUUGUGAAACUUGCUGGGGCUUAAUAUUCCCCUAUUGCUUUGUUGAAUUUUUUUUUAAAUUAUACAAUAGGCCCAAAAGUUAUUGGGAAGAAAACUGAUGGAAGAAAUAUAUUUCAGCAGAACUGUGUAAGCUUCUUUCCUUGAGGAAACCAGGCCAAGAAACAGAGGUAUUAGUCUGCCUCAUUUUGAAUGACCCUAUGACAUAGUGAUUAAUCCUUAAAAAUGUAACAGAUUAUAGCAAAAUCAUAAGUACUCCUGUUCAUAAUCUUCUAUUUGCACUUGUUAGAUGGCAUUUAACUUCAUGAAUAGUCACACAGAGUGUGGUAGCAUCAGCUGUUAGUGUAAGAUGCUGAGAAUCUACCUUAAUGAAAAAAGAAACAUCAUUCGCUGUAACCGGCUAAGCCAUAUCAAUAAAAUUAGAUUUCAGGGGUGAAAUCGUUGAACUACUGAUGUAAUUGGCAAAAUUCCUGGAGAUUUUUAAUAGGGCCAGGAUUGCACCAUAGGAGUGUUGGCUCUCUUUGGUUUACAAAUAAAUCACAAAGCAUUCCCAUUCAUGUUUGUGUUGGCUGCUCUAAGUAUUUAUGAACAGAUUAGGACAGAAAUUUUCUGGAUUUGUAGCCUACAGAGUGUCUUUUUUUUUUUUCAUUGAUGAUUCAUUGUCUCUUUUUUAUUGUGUGUGACUGACAUCUUUUCUUGACUGGAUAGAUGUUUCUUCUUUACAGGAGACAAAUAAUUAAUAAAUAGCAAAUAAUCCACUUCUGACAAGAAUUUGAAACAUAGUAUUAAUUCACAAGUAUUUCUUAAAUAAUUUUUCUCCAGUACAAUUUAACAAGGAAAAAGUAAGAUUCCAUGAAGAGUAGCAAAAUUUGAGUUUUUUAUUCACAAACUUCAUUUAUAAGCUUAUUCUCUUUGCCUGAUUACUUCCAAAAAUAUGCAAUACUCCCUCUCUGUUGUAUUUUAUUACUUAUGUUGGUUCAUAGCUUUCCAUUUUACUGCUCAAAUCUUGUAUUUUUCUCAUCUUUAUGGGCUCACGCACAUUUCCUGCUAUUGCUUUACGUACUUGUAAUAUCUAUGGACUCACACUAUAUGAUCUCAAUUUAUCAUUAUUGUUUUCCUCUCUGUGAUAUAUUAUUGUAAAUGUGGAAGAUAAAGUCUCCACAGGAAACCUAUAUCUUAUCUGUAAAUUGAACUUCUUUGUUGCUUAUAAGGUUCAUAUAAUGCAUUUUUGAUAAUACAUAAUUGAUGUAUCUAAUAAAUGUCCAAAGGUAACAUUUUAA